This 696-nucleotide ribosomal RNA is filed under the name uncultured bacterium. RNAcentral describes it as "bacterial SSU rRNA". It matches the Rfam family "Bacterial small subunit ribosomal RNA", at positions 32 to 715 of the family's 1533-position model. The record is from RNAcentral.
AACGCUAGCUACAGGCUUAACACAUGCAAGUCGCGGGGUAACAUCUGGGAGAGCUUGCUCUUCCAGGAUGACGACCGGCGCACGGGUGAGUAACGCGUAUCCAACCUGGCCCAUACCACGGGAUAGCCCGUCGAAAGGCGGAUUAAUACCGUAUGCUGUCAUUAAGAUGCAUAUAUUGAUGACGAAAGGACUGGCGGUAUGGGAUGGGGAUGCGUCUGAUUAGCUUGUUGGCGGGGUAACGGCCCACCAAGGCGACGAUCAGUAGGGGUUCUGAGAGGAAGGUCCCCCACAUUGGAACUGAGACACGGUCCAAACUCCUACGGGAGGCAGCAGUGAGGAAUAUUGGUCAAUGGGCGCAAGCCUGAACCAGCCAAGUAGCGUGAGGGAAGACUGCCCUACGGGUUGUAAACCUCUUUUGUUUGGGAAUAAAGUGCGGGACGUGUCCCGCAUUGCAUGUACCAUUUGAAUAAGGACCGGCUAAUUCCGUGCCAGCAGCCGCGGUAAUACGGAAGGUCCGGGCGUUAUCCGGAUUUAUUGGGUUUAAAGGGAGCGCAGGCCGUGGGUUAAGCGUGUCGUGAAAUUCCGUCGCUCAACGGCGGACGUGCGGCGCGAACUGGUCCACUUGAGUACGCGGGACGUUGGCGGAAUUCGUGGUGUAGCGGUGAAAUGCUUAGAUAUCACGAAGAACUCCGAUUG